Capsicum annuum is the source of this 950-nucleotide long non-coding RNA. RefSeq lists it as uncharacterized. NCBI's taxonomy places the organism in Eukaryota, Viridiplantae, Streptophyta, Magnoliopsida, Solanales, Solanaceae. The transcript is spliced from 2 exons. The record is from RefSeq and is a predicted model, not a curated record.
GUAAAUUUAAGCGAUUUAAAUGAGUACUUUGAUAUUUUUGUAAAAAAAAUUUUAAUAUCAAAUUUUAAGUAAUAAAGUAAAGUAACCUUGUGUAUUUAUGUAAUAUUUGCUUAAAAAUUCACCUCGUAGCCCAAACCUCACGUCCCUUAUAUCUCCUUUCCACUUAUCCUACCGCGAACAAAUGACAACAAUAUCAGCCUCAACACAAACAAAGUACAAUGUAUAACUUCAACAGCAAUACGAGUACGAACAACAAUAUCGACGACAAUAUCAAUGAAAUCCAAAAUCCAAAAUGCCCCAAAUUCAAAUUUUGAAUUUUUUGUAUAGAGAUAGUAUGAUUCUUUUCAAAUUUCCUCCAAAAACCCUUGAAACCAGGAGAAUAUCCUUGGAUUGACCACUCUCUUAAUUCCAAAUAAGGACAAAGGAGAAUCGAUCUCCAUCUAUUUUUCUUGAUUUGAUUUCAGCCAUUUAAUUCAGUACAUCUUUGUAUUCCCCAAAUUCCUCCCUGCGUCCAGUGGGCAGCUAAGCCCAACUAUCUGUGAGCCAGCUGUGUCAAAAUCUCAACGAGACGAAUUGAAGUCAAGAAAAAUGGUGUGUGACCUUAGUGAACGAAAGGCAAGCUGAAUUACAGGUCUUGAAGAAAGGAGUGGGCCAAAUCCCAAAAGUGGCCAACUCAAUUGAAAUUUAGCUCAAAAGCUCAAUUCAAUGAUGAGCCAAAACUAUAAUAUCGACUUUAAGUCCAAUUAGAAUAGGACAGAGUCGCUCGGAGCAGAAAAUGAAUGGGACAAGCCUAAUAGUUCGCCUGGAGCAAGUCCAAAUUUGGACCAUUUAUAGGGGUUUGGGCCUAAAAAAGGCCUAAAUCCAAUUUCUUUUACUCGUUCAUUUAUGUGUAAACAACUUAAACCUAGUGUUUCCUACAUAAUUACCAUAUUUUUCAACUUUUUUCUAAA